This 498-nucleotide ribosomal RNA is filed under the name uncultured bacterium. RNAcentral describes it as "bacterial SSU rRNA". It matches the Rfam family "Bacterial small subunit ribosomal RNA", at positions 28 to 507 of the family's 1533-position model. The record is from RNAcentral.
AACGAACCCUGGCGGCGGGCUAACCCCAUGCAAGUUGAACGGGAAAGGGGCAACCCCCGGUAGCGUGGCAGAAGGGUGAGUAACACGGGGUAACCUACCCGGAGGUGGGGGAUAACCCUUCGAAAGAGGGCUAAUACCGCAUGACACCGCGGGACCUCGGUCCUUGCGAUCAAAGCUGGCCUCUGUUUACAAGCUAGCGCCACCGGAUGGGCCCGCGCCCCCAUUAGCUAGUUGGUGAGGUAACGGCUCACCAAGGCUACGAUGGGUAGCCGGCCUGAGAGGGCGAUCGGCCACACUGGAACUGCGACACGGUCCAGACUCCUACGGGAGGCAGCAGUGAGGAAUAUUGCGCAAUGGGCGAAAGCCUGACGCAGCGACGCCGCGUGGAGGAUGAAGGUCUUCGGAUUGUAAACUCCUGUCGAGUGGGACGAAUGCCGUGAGGGUGAACAAUCCUUGCGGUUGACGGUACCGCUGGAGGAAGCCCCGGCUAACUCCGUG